UCCGGUUGAUCCUGCCGGACCCGACUGCUAUUUGGGUGAGAAUAAGCCAUGCGAGUCGAAUGGGAUACCUAAAUUUCCCAUGGCAAACUGCUCAUUAACACAUGAUCAACUUACCCUAUAGAGAAAAAUAACCUCGGGAAACUGAGGAUAAUAUUUCGUAGUUGAAUAGGCUUGGAAAAGUUUUUCAAUAAAAGGGAUAAAAAAAAUGGUUUUUAUCUGCUAUAGGAUAGGAUCGUGGACGAUUAUGGUUGUUGGUGAGGUAACGGCUCACCAAGCCGAUAGUCGAUAGGGGCCGUGAGAGCGGGAGCCCCGAGAUGGGUACUGAGACAACGACCCAGGCCUUACGAGGCGCAGCAGGCGCGGAACCUCCGCAAUACACGAAAGUGUGACGGGGUUACCCAAAGUGUUCAAUUCUGAACUGUGGUAGGUGAGUAAUGUUCCCUACUAGGAAGGAGAGGGCAAGGCUGGUGCCAGCCGCCGCGGUAAAACCAGCUCUUCAAGUGGUCGGGAUAAUUAUUGGGCUUAAAGUGUCCGUAGCCGGUUUAGUAAGUUCCUGGUAAAAUCGGGUAGCUUAACUAUCCGUAUGCUAGGAAUACUGCUAUACUAGAGGGCGGGAGAGGUCUGAGGUACUACAGGGGUAGGGGUGAAAUCUUAUAAUCCUUGUAGGACCACCAGUGGCGAAGGCGUCAGACUGGAACGCGCCUGACGGUGAGGGACGAAAGCCAGGGGAGCAAACCGGAUUAGAUACCCACGUAGUCC
RNAcentral lists this ribosomal RNA (759 nucleotides) under uncultured archaeon. RNAcentral describes it as "bacterial SSU rRNA". It matches the Rfam family "Archaeal small subunit ribosomal RNA", at positions 1 to 747 of the family's 1478-position model. The record is from RNAcentral.